Molecule: long non-coding RNA, 1502 nt
Filed under: Mustela putorius furo (domestic ferret)
Lineage: Eukaryota; Metazoa; Chordata; Mammalia; Carnivora; Mustelidae
Description: lncRNA (ENSMPUG00000031056.1)
Source: RNAcentral
GUUCAGAUGCCUUUAAUAAAGAAUCCAUUUCCUUACAAGAGUCUAAAUAGACCACACCGUUCUGUAUUAACCAGACAUACCUUAUGGCAAUAACAACAGUUGGAGAUUUGACCUGAAGAAUGCUUCAGUUUGAACUAUUUCUGCUCACGAAUAGAGAAGAUUGCAGCUCUCCGCUCUGCCUGCGCUUGGAAAGCCCAGACGCACCCGGUGCUUCGUUCACACCCACAUUUCACUCGGUUCCAUCCUGGCCCCCUCAGCUAACACCAUCCCAUCAGAAAACUGGACACCCAGAGUCACUUGCUGUUUUUCCGGGGCCUGCUUAUUUUCUAAUACCCCUCUCAUCUUUAAUAAUAGCACAGUUCAGUAUCCUCUCCGCCUGUGCCCAGGCAGCCCCCGUGUAAAACGGCUGUGAAGUUUAUUUUGUGCCCAUCAGUACAAUGCAAACCAGAGUGGGCUUACCUCCUCGGGGUUAGUGAACCCACGUUGUCUGUGAGCACAGACAGCACUUUGGCCCCAGAUGUGCCUGGUUAACUGUACAAGCAAAGAGGAUAAAUCCACAUAACAAUACUUCAUUCACCAAGGAAAUCUGCAGUGGAUUACAGCUUCUCUAUGGUUAAGUCUGGUCUUAAUUUACUGCUUUUAUUCAGUUUUCAACCACAAACGAGCCCCUUAUGAGGCAUUCACUAUGCAGAAUUGACAACUCUUUUUAUCUACUUGAAAAAUAUUUUUGGAUAAUAAUUUAUGGUUACAAAAUAUGUUAAGCAGUUUCAAUAGUUAUAUUAUAUUCUUUCAAUGCUUAAUGAUGCAGUAUCCCCUGUAAAAAUGGAAUGCCAGGAAAUCUGGUAAUUUUACAUACAGUAUUUAUAACAACAGAGCAAUUUGGCCAUAUAGAAACACAAAUUAAAAAAAAAUGCUGCAUAUUUCAUAGGAAGUCUUUUAAAGACAUUUUUUUAAGCUCUUAAAUUGUAUCUCGGGAGAAAAUCAGAGUUCAGAACAGUGUCUAAAGGUCCUAUAUAUGGGUGAAAAAAUAAUUUUGGCAAGCACUGUAUUUUAUUUAUGGAUUAUUAUGUUUAAUAUAGCAUAUUUUGAACACUCUUCAGAAGGAAAAAAAAGCUGCAGCUCUCUUUGAGGACAUGAGGGAGAGUUCAUAUGCUAUUUAUAUUUUAUACAUGAAACCAAAAUAUGUGGUAAGUUUGUACUUCUUUGCCAUCAAAAGUGUUCUCUUAAUUUAUAUUCUGAAUUAAUGCCAUCUUUUUAAAAAAUCCAUCUGAAGGUGUUCAUUAUUAUUGGGCAUAGAGUCCUUUUUCAAGCACUGAUUGCCAGUAACUGGAACUACUCUGGAAACCCCAAAUAGACUAAAAAGCAUCAUAUCCCUUUAAUAGUGGCAAGUGCCAGUAACAACGUUUGUCAUUUUAGUUGUACAGCUUCUAAUAUUGCCAGCCUAGUGACCCUAUAACCCCAAACGGAACCUAUGUAAGUAAAUAAGAAGGAAUGUAUUUUAU